RNAcentral lists this ribosomal RNA (800 nucleotides) under uncultured bacterium. RNAcentral's name for it is "bacterial SSU rRNA". It matches the Rfam family "Bacterial small subunit ribosomal RNA", at positions 8 to 793 of the family's 1533-position model. The record is from RNAcentral.
AGAGUUUGAUCCUGGCUCAGAGUGAACGCUGGCGGUAGGCCUAACACAUGCAAGUCGAACGGCAGCACAGGAGAGCUUGCUCUCUGGGUGGCGAGUGGCGGACGGGUGAGGAAUGCAUCGGAAUCUACUCUUUCGUGGGGGAUAACGUAGGGAAACUUACGCUAAUACCGCAUACGACCUACGGGUGAAAGCCGGGGACCUUCGGGCCUGGCGCGAAUGAAUGAGCCGAUGCCCGAUUAGCUAGUUGGCGGGGUAAAGGCCCACCAAGGCGACGAUCGGUAGCUGGUCUGAGAGGAUGAUCAGCCACACUGAAACUGAGACACGGUCCAGACUCCUACGGGAGGCAGCAGUGGGGAAUAUUGGACAAUGGGCGCAAGCCUGAUCCAGCCAUACCGCGUGGGUGAAGAAGGCCUUCGGGUUGUAAAGCCCUUUUGUUGGGAAAGAAAAGCAGCCGGUUAAUACCUGGUUGUUCUGACGGUACCCAAAGAAUAAGCACCGGCUAACUUCGUGCCAGCAGCCGCGGUAAUACGAAGGGUGCAAGCGUUACUCGGAAUUACUGGGCGUAAAGCGUGCGUAGGUGGUUGUUUAAGUCUGUCGUGAAAGCCCUGGGCUCAACCUGGGAAUUGCGAUGGAAACUGGGCGACUAGAGUGUGGCAGAGGAUAGUGGAAUUCCUGGUGUAGCAGUGAAAUGCGUAGAGAUCAGGAGGAACAUCCGUGGGCGAAAGGCGACUGUCUGGGCCCAACCACUGACACUGAGGCACGAAAGCGUGGGGAGCAAACAGGAUUAGAUACCCUGGUAG